Molecule: ribosomal RNA, 482 nt
Filed under: Bacillus cereus
Lineage: Bacteria; Bacillati; Bacillota; Bacilli; Caryophanales; Bacillaceae
Description: bacterial SSU rRNA
Rfam family: Bacterial small subunit ribosomal RNA
Source: RNAcentral
UUUAUUGGAGAGUUUGAUCCUGGCUCAGGAUGAACGCUGGCGGCGUGCCUAAUACAUGCAAGUCGAGCGAAUGGAUUAAGAGCUUGCUCUUAUGAAGUUAGCGGCGGACGGGUGAGUAACACGUGGGUAACCUGCCCAUAAGACUGGGAUAACUCCGGGAAACCGGGGCUAAUACCGGAUAAYAUUUUGAACCGCAUGGUUCGAAAUUGAAAGGCGGCUUCGGCUGUCACUUAUGGAUGGACCCGCGUCGCAUUAGCUAGUUGGUGAGGUAACGGCUCACCAAGGCAACGAUGCGUAGCCGACCUGAGAGGGUGAUCGGCCACACUGGGACUGAGACACGGCCCAGACUCCUACGGGAGGCAGCAGUAGGGAAUCUUCCGCAAUGGACGAAAGUCUGACGGAGCAACGCCGCGUGAGUGAUGAAGGCUUUCGGGUCGUAAAACUCUGUUGUUAGGGAAGAACAAGUGCUAGUUGAAUAAGCU